Molecule: transfer RNA, 63 nt
Filed under: Fukomys damarensis (Damara mole-rat)
Lineage: Eukaryota; Metazoa; Chordata; Mammalia; Rodentia; Bathyergidae
Rfam family: tRNA
About the family: Transfer RNA (tRNA) molecules are approximately 80 nucleotides in length. Their secondary structure includes four short double-helical elements and three loops (D, anti-codon, and T loops). Further hydrogen bonds mediate the characteristic L-shaped molecular structure. tRNAs have two regions of fundamental functional importance: the anti-codon, which is responsible for specific mRNA codon recognition, and the 3' end, to which the tRNAs corresponding amino acid is attached (by aminoacyl-tRNA synthetases). tRNAs cope with the degeneracy of the genetic code in two manners: having more than one tRNA (with a specific anti-codon) for a particular amino acid; and 'wobble' base-pairing, i.e. permitting non-standard base-pairing at the 3rd anti-codon position.
Source: Rfam by way of RNAcentral
AUGUAGCUCAGUAGUACAGCACUUGUCUGGCAUGUUUGAAGUCCUGGGUUCAAUCCCCAGCAU